AUACUAGCAAUGGAUUUGGGUUGUUGCAAAUGGUAUUAGAGUCAGAUACUAGGCAAUGUGCUAGCAAGGAUGCUAGGUCCUCAAGAGGGUGGAUUGUAAGAUCCCACAUCGAUUAGAGAAGGGAACGAAACAUUCCUCAUAAGGGUGUAGGAACUUUCUCCUUAGUAGACACGUUUUAAAAACUUGAAGGGAAACUUGGG
Long non-coding RNA from Cucurbita moschata (crookneck pumpkin), 200 nucleotides. RefSeq lists it as uncharacterized. The record is from RefSeq and is a predicted model, not a curated record. The transcript has 3 exons. NCBI's taxonomy places the organism in Eukaryota, Viridiplantae, Streptophyta, Magnoliopsida, Cucurbitales, Cucurbitaceae.